Molecule: ribosomal RNA, 558 nt
Filed under: Exserohilum turcicum
Lineage: Eukaryota; Fungi; Ascomycota; Dothideomycetes; Pleosporales; Pleosporaceae
Description: eukaryotic LSU rRNA
Rfam family: 5.8S ribosomal RNA (bases 160-313)
Source: RNAcentral
GUUGAGGUAGGGUACUGGCAACAGUGCUCUGCUGAAUAUUUUCACCCAUGUCUUUUGCGCACUUUUUGUUUCCUGGGCGAGUUUGCUCGCCACCAGGACCCCCAUAUGAACCUUUUUUGUUUUUGCACUCAGCGUCAGUACAAUAAUUUAAUCUAUUAAAACUUUCAACAACGGAUCUCUUGGUUCUGGCAUCGAUGAAGAACGCAGCGAAAUGCGAUACGUAGUGUGAAUUGCAGAAUUCAGUGAAUCAUCGAAUCUUUGAACGCACAUUGCGCCCUUUGGUAUUCCAAAGGGCAUGCCUGUUCGAGCGUCAUUUGUACCCUCAAGCUUUGCUUGGUGUUGGGCGUCUUAUUGUCUCUCCGUCUCGGGGAGACUCGCCUUAAAACAAUUGGCAGCCGGCCUACUGGUUUCGGAGCGCAGCACAAAUUUGCGCUUGCAAUCAGCCAAGGGCGGCAUCCAUGAAGCCUUUUUUCUCUCACAUUUUGACCUCGGAUCAGGUAGGGAUACCCGCUGAACUUAAGCAUAUCAAUAGGCCGGAGGAAAUGACAUUUGAGUCCG